GAUGAACGCUGGCGGCGUGCCUAAUACAUGCAAGUCGAGCGAACAGACGAGGAACUUGCUCCUCUGACGUUAGCGGCGGACGGGUGAGUAACACGUGGAUAACCUACCUAUAAGACUGGGAUAACUUCGGGAAACCGGAGCUAAUACCGGAUAAUAUAUUGAACCGCAUGGUUCAAUAGUGAAAGACGGUUUUGCUGUCACUUAUAGAUGGAUCCGCGCCGCAUUAGCUAGUUGGUAAGGGAACGGCUUACCAAGGCAACGAUGCGUAGCCGACCUGAGAGGGUGGUCGGCCACACUGGAACUGAGACACGGUCCAGACUCCUACGGGAGGCAGCAGUAGGGAAUCUUCCGCAAUGGGCGAAAGCCUGACGGAGCAACGCCGCGUGAGUGAUGAUGGUCUUCGGCUCGUAAAACUCUGUUAUUAGGGAAGAACAAAUGUGUAAGUAACUAUGCACGUCUUGACGGUACCUAAUCAGAAAGCCACGGCUAACUACGUG
RNAcentral lists this ribosomal RNA (497 nucleotides) under uncultured bacterium. RNAcentral describes it as "partial 16S ribosomal RNA". It matches the Rfam family "Bacterial small subunit ribosomal RNA", at positions 28 to 507 of the family's 1533-position model. The record is from RNAcentral.